RNAcentral lists this long non-coding RNA (1890 nucleotides) under Olea europaea subsp. europaea. The record is from RNAcentral. Lineage: Eukaryota; Viridiplantae; Streptophyta; Magnoliopsida; Lamiales; Oleaceae.
UGUUUCUGUAUAGCUCUCGAGCUCGACUAAGAGUUUGGAAGACAGCUUCAUCUCCACCUUGUAUUCUCAUUGCCAUCAUCACCUGUAACCAAUCUCUAAAAGUUGAUUAAAAAAAUUUUUAUCAUCUCUAAAAUCAGUUUUCAAUUUCCAAAAUUUAUGCAUGAUUCAUCAUAUCCAAAUUGGUAGGCACUUGCUAAGUAAAGAAGUAAAAGAAUUUAGUAAAUGCCAAAAACACAAUUAAAAACAUGAGGCACAUUCAGAAUGACAAAAAAGAGAAAGAGUGUAGAAAAUAAAGAACCACACCAUGUUUUUGUGAGUUGUAUGUUUAUUCAUCUCUAUGUUCAUUUAUUUAUAUACAACCAAAUGGAUGUAAAUAUGGAAACAUAGCCCACAUUUUGCCCCCAUUCUCUUUCAUUUUUUUCCUCUCUUAUUUUCAACCACACAAUCUUCAAUAAAAUAAUAUUACACGUAAAUCAAAAAAAUUUCUUUCUUUUUCAACCAUAUAUUCUUCAAAAAACUACUAUUCCAAACAUUAAAAUUUGGAAGAAAAAUGGGUGCCAAACGGGGGCAUAAUCUCCUAAAUUAUGAGAGCAAUACCACCUAACUACUGAAAUAAUUAAAUAAGGUACACCAAUCAUUCUAAAAUAAUUCAUCUACAAUUAAUCAACCGAUUUUUUACACUUCCCUUCAAGUUGGAUGGUAUAUGUUCACCAUAUCCAACUUGCAAAUGAAUUCUUCAAAAGUUUUUCAAGAUAGUUCUUUGGUGAAGAUAUCUGUUAUUUGCUCCUUCGUAGGGACGUAUUCAUACAGAUUACUCCAUCUUCUACUUUUUCCUUAAGGAAGUGUCUGUCCACUUCCACGUAUUUGGUUUGAUCUUGUCGCAUUAGAUUAAGUGAGAUAUUGAUCGCUGUCUUACUGUCGCAGUACAAUUUGAUUGGGAGUUUUACACUAACCUGUACUUCUUCCAAAAGUUUCUUUAAUCACAAUCCUUCACAGAUUCUUUGUGCCAUUACUCUAAAUUCGACUUUUGCAUUGCUUCUAGCUACUACAUUUUCUUUUUGUUUCUACAAGUUAUUUAAUUUCCCAUACAUAGGUACAAUAACCAGUUGUUGAUCUCCUAUCUUCUAGAGAACUAGUCCAAUCAGUAUCAGUGCAUAUUUCUACUUUCUGCCUAUCAUUUCUCUUGAAGAGUAGUCCCUUUCCCAAUGAACCAUUUAGAUACUUGAGAAUUUUAAAUACUGCUUCCACAUGAGCUCCUUUAGUAAGUGCAUAUGUUGACUUGCCACAUUUACUACAAAUGCAAUAUCUGGUCUAGUAUGAGACAGAUUAAUUUCCCAACUAAUCGUUGAUAUCUUUCUUUCUCAACUCACUUUCCAGUAUUUUUUGCCUUUCUUCAUGUAUCAAUUGGUAUUUCACUCGGUUUACAUCCAAACAUAUUGGUUUUAGAUAGGAGGUCGUGAAUAUAUUUUCGUUGUGAAACAUUGAUACCCUUUCUUGACCUUGCAACUUCCAUUCCUAGAAAAUAUCGCAUCUACUAGGUCUUUUACCUCAAAUUCAGUUGUCAUGUAAACUUCUAUCUCUAUUAUGUUGUCACCAGUUAGAAUUAUAUCAUUAACGUAUACAAUUAAAAUUGUUUUCAUUUCGUAGUUCGAUUGUUGGAAGAACAUGGUGUGAUCGAACUGUAUUUGUUGAUACCCCAAACUUUUCAAUACCUUAGCAAAUCGAUUAAACCAUGCUCUUAGUUAUUGUUUAAGACUAUAUAUUGAUUUUUUUAGUUUACAGACCCGAUUUUCUUCUUGUAAGUAGAAUCUUGGUGGUAGUGUUAUGAACACUUCUCUUUCCCAUUUUUCAUUUAGAAAUGCAUUUUUUAUGGCCAGUCCAAAUUGGCUG